AGGUGGCGAACGGGUGAGUAACACGUGGGUGAUCUGCCCUGCACUUCGGGAUAAGCCUGGGAAACUGGGUCUAAUACCGGAUAGGAGCCAUUUUUAGUGUGAUGGUUGGAAAGUUUUUUCGGUGUAGGAUGAGCUCGCGGCCUAUCAGCUUGUUGGUGGGGGUAAUGGCCUACCAAGGCGGCGACGGGUAGCCGGCCUGAGAGGGUGGACGGCCACAUUGGGACUGAGAUACGGCCCAG
This 239-nucleotide ribosomal RNA is filed under the name uncultured Actinomycetales bacterium. Its description in RNAcentral is "partial 16S ribosomal RNA". It matches the Rfam family "Bacterial small subunit ribosomal RNA", at positions 93 to 334 of the family's 1533-position model. Lineage: Bacteria; Bacillati; Actinomycetota; Actinomycetes; Actinomycetales. The record is from RNAcentral.